This 423-nucleotide ribosomal RNA is filed under the name uncultured bacterium. RNAcentral describes it as "bacterial SSU rRNA". It matches the Rfam family "Bacterial small subunit ribosomal RNA", at positions 207 to 622 of the family's 1533-position model. The record is from RNAcentral.
AAGACCUUGCGUUUUUGGAGCGGCCGAUGUCUGAUUAGCUAGUUGGUGGGGUAAUGGCCUACCAAGGCUUCGAUCAGUAGCUGGUCUGGGAGGACGGCCAGCCACACUGGGACUGAGACACGGCCCAGACUCCUACGGGAGGCAGCAGUGGGGAAUUUUGGACAAUGGGCGCAAGCCUGAUCCAGCCAUGCCGCGUGAGUGAAGAAGGCCUUCGGGUUGUAAAGCUCUUUCAGCCGAGAAGAAAAGAUUGCGACUAAUAAUCGCAAUUCAUGACGGUACCGGCAGAAGAAGCACCGGCUAACUACGUGCCAGCAGCCGCGGUAAUACGUAGGGUGCGAGCGUUAAUCGGAAUUACUGGGCGUAAAGGGUGCGCAGGCGGUUUUGUAAGUCAGAUGUGAAAUCCCCGGGCUUAACCUGGGAACU